RNAcentral lists this non-coding RNA (178 nucleotides) under Eubacterium ventriosum. RNAcentral's name for it is "6S / SsrS RNA". It matches the Rfam family "6S / SsrS RNA". Rfam says of the family: E. coli 6S RNA was the first non coding RNA to be sequenced, but its function was unknown until recently. It consists of 184 nucleotides that fold into an extended hairpin structure with a large single-stranded internal bulge. The 6S RNA specifically associates with RNA polymerase holoenzyme containing the sigma70 specificity factor. Lineage: Bacteria; Bacillati; Bacillota; Clostridia; Eubacteriales; Eubacteriaceae. The record is from Rfam by way of RNAcentral.
UUUGACCUGAAAUGUUCGUGAAUCCUGCCUAUUUUGAACCUACAGUUUGAAUAAAGGGAUUCCUAAUCUCUAAAGGGAUGUCAAGCCUCAUUAUCAGGUGGAAGGCAGAACUUUAGAUGCGGUUGCCCACCUGGCGUUUGCUAGGACUCAAAACGCAGGCCGGCAUUUCAGGUACAUA